UGACAUCGAUAGCUAUUUCAGUAG
RNAcentral lists this non-coding RNA (24 nucleotides) under Arabidopsis thaliana (thale cress). The record is from RNAcentral. Lineage: Eukaryota; Viridiplantae; Streptophyta; Magnoliopsida; Brassicales; Brassicaceae.